Molecule: non-coding RNA, 46 nt
Organism: Schistosoma margrebowiei
Lineage: Eukaryota; Metazoa; Platyhelminthes; Trematoda; Strigeidida; Schistosomatidae
Source: Rfam
GCACUGCUGAGGAGUCGGAUACUAGGACGAAACGGCCGUCCAGUGC